CUAUUUUACAGAUUAACAAACCAAGAAUUGGCAAAUUCAAGUAACUACCUUGCAGUCACACAACUAAGAGCUUGGAUUCAAACUCAAAUCUGUCUCCAAAUCGAGUACUUUGAAGACUAUGACUUAUAAAAGAAGUAGAACACACAUGCUUCCCAUUAGGUGAGAAAGAAACAUGCCUGAGAGUCUAAUGGAUUACUCAAGUCUGUGCUGCCAAGGAAGAACAGAAUCUUUAGGUCUUCUGUGCAAAGUUGUGUCCACCCCCAAAGUCUGAAGUGGCUCCAUUCACAAACUUACAUGGAAUUUGGACUUGGCCAUCUUUCCUUUCAAGAAUAUAUGAUAAAAUCAUGCUUCCCGUUCAAGAGGUUCACUCUGGGUAUAGACGGCAUUUCUGAAAACAUGGCAUUGACUGACAUUAUUGACAGUGGACUGGGAAUGGAAAGAUCAGAGUUCUUUGCAUGGCUGAGCAUCUUACUUUUCCUUGAUCUUGGGAAGGAAGGCGCCUUCUCUGAUGGAGAUUAUCUGUCAGUGAAACUAGAUUUUUAAGUUGCAGCCCUGGGCUUAUGGUGAAUUGGCAAGCACGUGUGAGAAAGAUCAUGUUGUCUUAAGCAACUUUGAUUCCAAGAGAAGAAGAGUAAUAUGAGUACUCCAGUCCAGUCACCUGAUGAGAGAUUCCUGAAGGGAGAACUUGCAUCUUCAAAGCGUUGGAGGUAGAAGGAAGACAGGCAGAAGGACAUCCCAGAAUCAACCCAGAAUGUGGUGGAAGUGACUGCAUCAACCCUGAGCCGACACACCCAGAAGCCUUGCAGACUUCUACUUCCUGCCUUGGAAUCCUGACAAGCCACUACUUAAGCAAAUGUGAGCUACCCUUUUAGUGGUGGUUACAUGGGAUUAGAUGAGAUACAUGGGGCCCGGAUUCCUGAUUGCCCCACUUGACAGCUGAGAAACACCUGGGAGCAGGGCUGCCCAGCUAACAUCUGCUGACUGCAGAUGAAUGAACAAGCCCAGCCAGAUAGAGAAGAAACAGUCAGCUGGGCCAUAAACAAUGUUUUGUAAUAAUCGUUUAUUUAUAUGGUUUACAUUUUGUUUAACUCUCAUUUUUUAAUGGGAAUAGGACUUUUUUAUUGUGGUAAAAUGUACAUAAUGAAAAUUUACCAUUUUAACUAUUUUAGCUGUACAAUUCAGUGGCAUUCAAUGUUGUGCAAUGCUCACAACUACUUCCAACUUUUUUCAUUAUUCCAAACAGAAACUCUAUGCCAUUAAGCAAUAACUUUUGAUUCUUCCCAUCCCCAGCUCUUGGUAAUCUCGAUUCUACUUUCUGCCUAUAUGAAUUUGCCUAUUUUAGACACCCCACAUAAGUAGAAUCAUACAAUAUUUGUUCUUUUGUAUUUGACUUACUUUACUUGGCAUAUUUUCAAGGUUCAUCAUGUUGUAUUAUGUAUUAGACUUUUAUUUCUACUUAUGGCCGAAUAUCAUCCUGUGGUAGAUAGA
RNAcentral lists this long non-coding RNA (1488 nucleotides) under Homo sapiens (human). Its description in RNAcentral is "HSALNT0350271". The record is from RNAcentral. Lineage: Eukaryota; Metazoa; Chordata; Mammalia; Primates; Hominidae.